Molecule: long non-coding RNA, 209 nt
Organism: Aphis gossypii (cotton aphid)
Lineage: Eukaryota; Metazoa; Arthropoda; Insecta; Hemiptera; Aphididae
Exons: 2
Source: RefSeq, a predicted model, not a curated record
AAUUCGCUCGUUAAACGACGGUGGUUAGAAUGGAGCCAUUGGAGGAGGGAUGAAGUGAACAGAUUAGAAAAACGUACAUAAAAUAAUCUCACCGGUGCAUUGUGGCCGGUACGACGACGCUUGUCCUUUGUCCGUCCGGAGAAUGGCGUUCGUGACGUUUAGCGUUUUUAAAGGUUGUCCGGGCUGCUGGCGUACGUAACUGGUGCAAG